Mesocricetus auratus (golden hamster) is the source of this 109-nucleotide non-coding RNA. Lineage: Eukaryota; Metazoa; Chordata; Mammalia; Rodentia; Cricetidae. The record is from Rfam.
CAGUAUGGCCAUACCACCCUAAAUGUACUCCAUCUCGUCUGAUCUCGGAAGCUAAGCAGGGUCUGGCCUGGUUACUACUUGGAUGGGAGUUGUUUGUUUGUUUUUUUAA